This is a long non-coding RNA of Cryptotermes secundus, 1425 nucleotides long. RefSeq lists it as uncharacterized. The record is from RefSeq and is a predicted model, not a curated record. The transcript is spliced from 4 exons. NCBI's taxonomy places the organism in Eukaryota, Metazoa, Arthropoda, Insecta, Blattodea, Kalotermitidae.
UGCGAUUCUGCGUUAAGGAAUUAAGGAACACGGUUUCCUAGAAAACAUUGACCACCGUUACCACGUAAAAUAGCGGUGCCGCCCAUUAUGACGGCGGUGAGUGCGGCGACAAACAGUUCUAGCAAUGUUUUUGUACGGUACGGUGGAAGGUGCCGUGAACUCACAACAUGACGUGUUGGAGUAGCGAAGAAGGCGAAGAACCAUGAGAUGUUAUAUAAUGUGAAGAGCAAAGACUACAGCUGAAGCAAAAUCUGUGGUGUGAAAUUGGCGGUACACUUAAUAAAACAGAUGUUGACUGCAGCAAGAGAUGGGCCUACGUAAGAGAUUAUUAUAUUAGACGGAGAGGAAAACCUGACACUGGUUCCAGUGGUGAGGCAGCAAAGAAGAGGUCUGUGCUCCUAUCAUUCUUAGAUGGCUUCAGUUCAUCAAAAAGAAGCACUGUUACCAAUGUUGUUGGAGAUGAGAAUAGUAAGGACAUAAAUACCAAUGAGACUGUGGCCACGGAGGUACUUACCAGGUACAUAUCAGGCGUACCAGCAGAAGCAUCGGACGCAUUUUGGAUGAUGAGAAUUCGCAAUGAGGAAUGUACAGAUAAGAGCUACUAGAAGGUUCUUUAAUAGUCGGCAUGGUGUGUGAAUGGCUACUCAUCCCACUGCGUCUGAUAAAAGAAACUUCCAGAAUGUUCUCGAACUAUGAAACAGUAGAAGCAGCUUCGAGAAUGAUCUGGAAAGAGAAGGUUCUGGAUGUUACAUCAUCUCACAGUAUUUAAAGGAUUGAUCCAGGAUGGCGAAGACAGAUAAGUAAGAGACAAGUAAGACAUUGGCCGAUCAGUGAGUGAACAUGUAUAUUUGGUGAGAUACCGGGCUGGGAGAUUGACGUACAUUAUCUACCGUACUGUAACAUAGUGUUGCGAAUCUUGAAGUAGUGUACAGUGAGUGCCAAAAGUACACCUGUAAUUGCAAGUGACUGCUGCUUGUAACUGUAUAGUGCUGUUAAUAAAGAAGUGUAUUAUUAAUAUCGAGUUGUGAUCCAGAGACUUCUUCACCAGGAAGACCUCUCUCGUCCAAGCAAGGCCCAUUAAGCCCUAAGAGAGAAUCUCAUUGCUCAACCCAGAACAUUAUCCUCUUUCUACCCCCAAGCACCUUGCUGUGGUUCCCAGACCAUGUAAUGGCGCCCUAUCAACUGCAAAGGUGCAGAAGGAUGGCUCAGGCAGUGAUUACACGAAUUCCCAACAAAGAACUCUCACAGUACUUACCUCAUGAAGUGCAAUCUUCACAGGUGGUACAUGAUUACCUUUGCUACUCUGACUGACUCUCCUCGAAGUUAAAGGGUCAAAGUCGCAUUGCGACUGAUGGUGAGUCAGUCUGUUUCUUUUUAGAUAAAAGUUACUGUCCUGUCCGUGUGGGGCGCCCUCUCAGACAAGAG